GAAGCAUAAGGUGCCAACACACAUGUAGACAGCCAAGAAAACAGCUACUUGAAUCAAACUCGGACAGAACUUCCCAUAAAUGGAUUCAGGGUGUGAAAGUGAGCGACCAGCAUCUGAAGGAACGAACUCUGUUACAGGAGCACUUCUAACUCGGCGAAAUCUUCUUCUAUUGGGAGCAUGUGUAUUAUUUGUUUGCAGUGUGGAAUCCACUAAUCCUGACAGCAGUGGCUGUUUUGCACCAUUGGAGGCCAUGAAAACAGUAUGACAAACGUGGAACAGUCUUAGGAGACCUGCAAAUUAUUAGACAUGUUGAGCUAUAGUUUAAACAAGCAAGUCAGAUAUGUUAGGAACAACUCAAAAAAGAAAAUCUCAGAUGCAAAGUUUAUCCCCAAUUAUUAACAUAGUCACCAUAAAAGCAUAUCUGGCUAUAGAAAGGCCUAAACACUCAUGCAUAGUUUCUCUUUCUACAUAGUGCAGAUUAAAUUUUCUCCAUCCAAAUCUUCUAGCUCCUAUAUAUUUCAUUCCAGUUAUGGAAAACAGUUGUUUUCAGUUUUUCUAUGCUUGGCAUCUCUUCCCCUCCAAAUAUUAAGCUACAGGCUAUGUGUCAUACCCAGGAAAUUCUAUGAGAACAAUUGAACACAUUAUCUCUACAACAUAAAUUUUCAGAUAUGAGAAGUAAAGACAAGGCUACAAGUGAGCAUUGCAACAUUAUACAAAUGCAAAUUAUUAAACGCAAGAUCAAAAGUCACAGCAUAAAAUAAAAUAAAAAUAAAUAAAGAAGAGGGUUUUUAUGAAGCUAGCUAGGUGCUAAAUUUAGAAUCCUCACUAACAAGUGAGAAAAACUCCACUUCACCACAAUUGAACUUCUAGAGUGAAUUGCAAGGAACUACUGAGCAAGAGUUAUGGCAGAAGCACGGUGGAUAUAAAUUUAAAGUGCUCUUUCAGUAAGGAAAUUUCCCAGCAAAUUCCACCCUAAACCUUCUAAGAUCAAUGUCACUAUAAACCCUGUAGGCAAAACUGUCCUUUACAGCAUAGCUACUUCUUUACAAUGAAAUUGGGUUGCCCUUAAAUUUUAGUUUUUGGUCGAAUAUAAUGAAUUGGAAGGGUACGGUGUACAUGUGACGAGGAAGUUUCGUAUACGAAUCCAAGUACCAAGAUUGUAAGUACUUGAUUUUUACAGCCCAAGUCCAAUUGCGUGUAUAUUUUACAGGUGAGAAGCAUUCAAAUCGUACUCUAAUGUUUGUAAACAAAGGGAUUCAGUGAAUGAAAAAAAGAAAAAGCAUUCCAAUCCAAAUUAACAAGAUUUUUCACACAGAUAAUGCAUAAAAAAAAAGCUUCGAAUAGAAAGAGAUCUGUAACAGAGGAAACAGGUAGAGACUUUCAACAAUGAUGCCUCCAAUAACCAUCGGUGUUUAAGUUGGAAACUCCGCAAAAGAGUCUCAAGACAAAACAAGAAAGUUGCACAGAGAGAGACAGAGAGAGAUCACCUGAGGGAGCAGAAUUACAUAGAAUUUUCAAGAAUUAUUGGGAGUUGAUGAGCAAAAUCUUGAGAACAUCGAUUAAACAGCGUGUAAUAAUCUGAGAGCUUUUGUCUUCCGAUGGGAUCUUACGGGAUCUUGUGUUUGCACUUUCUGAAGUGGAAUGAACAUGGUUUUAAUUAAGCUGCCCCUUUCGUUUCUUUGGGAUUAGGACAGCAGAUGCUCUUAGAGAUUUUUUUUUUAAUUUUUU
Molecule: unclassified non-coding RNA, 1728 nt
Filed under: Hevea brasiliensis (rubber tree)
Lineage: Eukaryota; Viridiplantae; Streptophyta; Magnoliopsida; Malpighiales; Euphorbiaceae
Source: RNAcentral